AGAGUUUGAUCCUGGCUCAGAUUGAACGCUGGCGGCAGGCCUAACACAUGCAAGUCGAGCGGUAGCACAGGAGAGCUUGCUCUCUGGGUGACGAGCGGCGGACGGGUGAGUAAUGUCUGGGAAACUGCCUGAUGGAGGGGGAUAACUACUGGAAACGGUAGCUAAUACCGCAUAACGUCGCAAGACCAAAGAGGGGGACCUUCGGGCCUCUUGCCAUCAGAUGUGCCCAGAUGGGAUUAGCUGGUAGGUGGGGUAAUGGCUCACCUAGGCGACGAUCCCUAGCUGGUCUGAGAGGAUGACCAGCCACACUGGAACUGAGACACGGUCCAGACUCCUACGGGAGGCAGCAGUGGGGAAUAUUGCACAAUGGGCGCAAGCCUGAUGCAGCCAUGCCGCGUGUAUGAAGAAGGCCUUCGGGUUGUAAAGUACUUUCAGCGAGGAGGAAGGCAUUGUGGUUAAUAACCGCAGUGAUUGACGUUACUCGCAGAAGAAGCACCGGCUAACUCCGUGCCAGCAGCCGCGGUAAUACGGGGGGUGCAAGCGUUAAUCGGAAUUACUGGGCGUAAAGCGCACGCAGGCGGUCUGUCAAGUCGGAUGUGAAAUCCCCGGGCUCAACCUGGGAACUGCAUUCGAAACUGGCAGGCUAGAGUCUUGUAGAGGGGGGUAGAAAUUCCCAGGUGUAGCCGGUGAAAUGCGUAGAGAUCUGGAGGAAUACCGGUGGCGAAGGCGGCCCCCUGGACAAAGACUGAUGCUCAGGUGCGAAAGCGUGGGGAGCAAACAGGAUUAGAUACCCUGGUAGUCCACGCCGUAAACGAUGUCGACUUGGAGGUUGUUCCCUUGAGGAGUGGCUUCCGGAGCUAACGCGUUAAGUCGACCGCCUGGGGAGUACGGCCGCAAGGUUAAAACUCAAAUGAAUUGACGGGGGCCCGCACAAGCGGUGGAGCAUGUGGUUUAAUUCGAUGCAACGCGAAGAACCUUACCUACUCUUGACAUCCAGAGAACUUAGCAGAGAUGCUUUGGUGCCUUCGGGAACUCUGAGACAGGUGCUGCAUGGCUGUCGUCAGCUCGUGUUGUGAAAUGUUGGGUUAAGUCCCGCAACGAGCGCAACCCUUAUCCUUUGUUGCCAGCGGUUCGGCCGGGAACUCAAAGGAGACUGCCAGUGAUAAACUGGAGGAAGGUGGGGAUGACGUCAAGUCAUCAUGGCCCUUACGAGUAGGGCUACACACGUGCUACAUGGCAUAUACAAAGAGAAGCGACCUCGCGAGAGCAAGCGGACCUCACAAAGUAUGUCGUAGUCCGGAUCGGAGUCUGCAACUCGACUCCGUGAAGUCGGAAUCGCUAGUAAUCGUAGAUCAGAAUGCUACGGUGAAUACGUUCCCGGGCCUUGCACACACCGCCCGUCA
This 1403-nucleotide ribosomal RNA is filed under the name uncultured bacterium. RNAcentral describes it as "bacterial SSU rRNA". It matches the Rfam family "Bacterial small subunit ribosomal RNA". The record is from RNAcentral.